GAUGAACGCUGGCGGCGUGCCUAAUACAUGCAAGUCGAGCGAACGGACGCGAAGCUUGCUUCUCUGAUGUUAGCGGCGGACGGGUGAGUAACACGUGGAUAACCUACCUAUAAGACUGGGAUAACUUCGGGAAACCGGAGCUAAUACCGGAUGAUAUUUUGAACCGCAUGGUUCAAAAGUGAAAGACGGUCUUGCUGUCUCUUAUAGAUGGUUCCGCGCUGCAUUAGCUAGUUGGUAAGGUAACGGCUUACCAAGGCAACGAUGCAUAGACGACCUGAGAGGGUGAUCGGCCGCACUGGAACUGAGACACGGUCCAGACGCCUACGGGAGGCAGCAGUAGGGAAUCGUCCGCAAUGGGCGAAAGCCUGACGGAGCAACGCCGCGUGAGUGAUGAAGGUCUUCGGAUCGUAAAACUCUGUUAUUAGGGAAGAACAUAUUUGUAAGUAGCUGUGCACAGCGUGACGGUACCGAAUCAGAAAGCCACGGCUAACUACGUG
RNAcentral lists this ribosomal RNA (497 nucleotides) under uncultured bacterium. RNAcentral's name for it is "partial 16S ribosomal RNA". It matches the Rfam family "Bacterial small subunit ribosomal RNA", at positions 28 to 507 of the family's 1533-position model. The record is from RNAcentral.